Alligator sinensis (Chinese alligator) is the source of this 405-nucleotide long non-coding RNA. RefSeq lists it as uncharacterized. NCBI's taxonomy places the organism in Eukaryota, Metazoa, Chordata, Crocodylia, Alligatoridae. The record is from RefSeq and is a predicted model, not a curated record. The transcript has 3 exons.
ACAGCUUACUGGUCUCUAGUCCUUGAGCAACUCCUGUCCUGAUCUGCCCUCGGUUGCUCCAACACAUGGCUCAUCUCUGUAUUCUCUGGUCCCGCUCCUGGUUGUAUCUACUAGGCUGGACUCCCUUGUGGACUGUGACUGGGACAUGCCUGGACCCAGAACAAAGGAGGCUGCACCUUGAUUGAGAACCACUUGACUCUUCGGCAUCUCCAAGUCCUUCCAGGAUAUUUACUGUAUCUUUUGUUGUGUUCCUGGGAUGAGUGUGAUUAUCAAACAAUCUUGAGACAGCCAAUGUAUAUCACUAAUUCCUAUGAGCAACAUCUCCCAUUGCUCUGACUCUGAGCAUGUGUGAUGAUAUGGGGGUAUAUAUUUUUCAUAUAUAUUUAUGUAUAGAUUCUGUUUGAU